GCCCCGUUCGUCUAGUGGCCUAGGACGCCAGGUUCUCAACCUGGUAACACGGGUUCGAAUCCCGUACGGGGUACAA
This 76-nucleotide transfer RNA is filed under the name Actinomycetota bacterium. Its description in RNAcentral is "tRNA-Glu". It matches the Rfam family "tRNA". From Rfam's summary of the family: Transfer RNA (tRNA) molecules are approximately 80 nucleotides in length. Their secondary structure includes four short double-helical elements and three loops (D, anti-codon, and T loops). Lineage: Bacteria; Bacillati; Actinomycetota. The record is from RNAcentral.